This 468-nucleotide ribosomal RNA is filed under the name uncultured bacterium. Its description in RNAcentral is "partial 16S ribosomal RNA". It matches the Rfam family "Bacterial small subunit ribosomal RNA", at positions 28 to 507 of the family's 1533-position model. The record is from RNAcentral.
GACGAACGCUGGCGGCGUGCUUAACACAUGCAAGUCGAACGGAAAGGCCCUGCUUUUUUGGUGUGCUCGAUUGGCGAACGGGUGAGUAACACGUGAGUAACCUGCCCUUGACUUUCGGAUAACUUCAGGAAACUAGGGCUAAUACCGGAUAGGAGCUCCUGCUGCAUGGUGGGGGUUGGAAAUUUUCGGCGGUUGGGGAUGGACUGGCGGCUUAUCAGCUUGUUGGUGGGGUAGUGGCUUACCAAGGCUUUGACGGGUAGCCGGCCUGAGAGGGUGACCGGCGACAUUGGGACUGAGAUACGGACCAGACUCCUACGGGAGGCAGCAGUGGGGAAUAUUGUACAAUGGGAGGAAGCCUGAUGAAGAAACGCCGAGUGCGGGAUGACGGCCUUCGGGUUGUAAACCGCUUUCGCCUGUGACGAAGCGUGAGUGACGGUAAUGGGUAAAGAAGCACCGGCUAACUACGUG